GCUGACCAGUAGUCCAACCCCAAUACAAUUAUCUCUUAAUACACAAAACAAACCAUUUGACCAAUCAAGUAGAUGCGAUCGAACACCACACCCGGAACACAAACACAACACCGCAAGGGAAAAAAUUAAGCGUGAAACAGCAAAGACAAACCCUUGUACCUUUUGCAUCAUGGUUUAGCAAGAACUCACAGACAAGAAGAACCAAAGCCUACAAACCCGAAACCAGAUGAGCUACUUCAUAGCAGCCUCCAGGGCAUAUCCUCCUCUGUAGCAAAAGAGCGGAAAGACUAUAAAGUAGAAGUGAAAUGCCUAUCGAAUCUGGAGAUAGCUGGCUACCCCAAAAAGGAUUUAAGUCCCACUUUAGACCCCCCCCCACCGCACUCCCUAGUCAUCUAAAGACACUCAAUAAAGGUACAACUUUAUUGAAACAGGAUACAACCUGAAUUUGAGAGCAUACCUCCUCCCACCCCCCAGUAGGCCCUAAAGCAGCCACCUAAAAAAAUAUCGUUUAAGAAUGAUCAAAACAAUCCCUGCCCCCUCCCCCCCCUCCAAAAAAACUAAGGGUUAAUUUAUAACCAUAAAUAAGCCUCUGCUAAAACUAUUAAUAAGAAUACUUCUCUAAACGCACAACCUUUUACUAGAAACAGAAAGCCUGCUAGUAAUUAACAGACCCCAAAAGGAAAUAAACAACACCAUACACACCCUCACCACCAACUGUAGCCCCAACACAGGUGUGCCACUUAAGGAAAGAGAAAAAGCUACAAAAGGAACUCGGCAACCUACAGCUCCAACUGUUUACCAAAAACAUAACCUUUAGCCAAUCUAAUAUUAAAGGCAACGCCUGCCCAGUGAAACUAUUCAACGGCCGCGGUACCCUAACCGUGCAAAGGUAGCGUAAUCAUUUGUCUAUUAAUUGUAGACCAGUAUGAAAGGCAACAUGAGAGCCAAACUGUCUCUUGCAGCUACUCAAUUAAACUGAUCUUUUAGUCCAAAAGCUAAAAUACCCAUAUAAGACCAGAAGACCCUGUGAAGCUUAAACUAAUCCGUUAAAUCGAAUAACGGUCACUUUCGGUUGGGGCGACCUUGGAACAAAAAAGAACUUCCAAUACAAUGAUAUCCAUCAUACCAAGGCUGACAAGCCACAAUACGACCCAGUCUACUGACUAAUGAACCAAGUUACUCCAGGGAUAACAGCGCCAUCUUCUUCAAGAGCCCAUAUCAAAAAGAAGGUUUACGACCUCGAUGUUGGAUCAGGACAUCCUGGUGGUGCAGCCGCUACCAAGGGUUCGUUUGUUCAAC
Molecule: ribosomal RNA, 1299 nt
Filed under: Rhinophis melanogaster (Gray's earth snake)
Lineage: Eukaryota; Metazoa; Chordata; Lepidosauria; Squamata; Uropeltidae
Description: partial 16S ribosomal RNA
Rfam family: Bacterial large subunit ribosomal RNA
Source: RNAcentral